RNAcentral lists this long non-coding RNA (2311 nucleotides) under Cinara cedri. The record is from RNAcentral. Lineage: Eukaryota; Metazoa; Arthropoda; Insecta; Hemiptera; Aphididae.
UAUGAAUAUUUACUAAAUGCCAAACAAAACCUCACAGACAUAAUGAUUGAUUCACAUAAAAAGUAAUUAAUUUUAAACUUGACUAAUGAUUAAUAAUAAAUGUUUAUGUAUAUUUCUUUAAUUAUAUUUUAAUAUAUAAAAACAAUUUACUUUUCAUUUUCAUUUAAUUAUCAUAUGUUAUUUUUAGGACAGUUAUUUCUGCAUUACAUGUAUGGCUAGAUUCAUAUCCAGAAGAUUUUCGUGAUCCACCAUUACAUACAUGUUUAAGAUGUUUGCAUUCAUUCACAUAUACUUAUUUGCCUAAAACUGAACUUCAUUUAAAAGCAACAUAUAGACUAGAAAAAUUCCUUAAAGAAUGUAAUCAGUUAGGUAGGUUGAGUUAAUAAUAUACCCUUUUAUUUAAACUUAACAUUUUUUUUUUUUUCAGAUACUACAUAUAUAAAUGACAAAUAUGAUUUGGUGAUGACUAGUAAUUCACAUUCCUCUUACAAUUUUCCUAACAUAGCAGAAAGACAUUUUGCUGAGCAGUUGACCAGAAUGGAUCGUGUAUGUAUUUCGAAACAAAUAUUUUAUUAUAUUUAUCUAUUUACUAUUUAUUAGUAUAUUUCAUUUAAAAUGUAUCUUUAAUUGCAUUAAAAAGAUGUCAUACCACUCAUAAUUUAAGUAGAAAAACUAUUUUGUGUGGGGCAAAUUUUUUUCACUAUAUUAACAAUAGAAUUACCUAAAUUUUACAUUGUAUGAAGAAUAAUUUUAUCUAUGUUGGGUGCAUAUUUUUUUGAUAACAAAUAAAAAUUUUAAACUCGUCUAUCUGUUAGUAAAUUGUUUUUUUUUUUUUUUUUUUUUUUUCAUUUACUUAUAAAAAAAAAUAAACAGUAGUACUAUUAAAAUAAUAAGCACAAUAAGAUAGAUAAAGUUAUUCUUUAUGUGUUCUGAAAUUUAAAUUUUAUCUAUUAUAAUACAAUAAGUAAUAUAAUAAAUAAUAAUAUAAUAAGUAGCAAGACUGUUCACUGCAAAAAUAUUUGUCCAUAUAUAUUAGUUCAUUUCAUGAUUACACAAUAAACACUUGUAAUAAUGGCAAAAGAAUACAAUUUACAUAUAGUCACCUAUACAUUUAUUUGAAAGUGAAUUUAAAUAUUUUGUUUAUUGAUGAAUGUUUGUUAUUUUAAAAUGCAUUUACAUCAACCCUUAAAUAUUGGGUGUGUAGCAUCCUUUAAAUGUAUGUAUAAAUAUUACCUUAUUGUUAUAGGAUGUAUUGAAAGAUAUGGUAUCUCAUCAAUGCCUUGGUGCUGUUUGGUCUAAAAAUAAAAGAACGGGAUCUGCACCUACAGUUCUGGCAACAAUUGACCAGUUUAAUGCUGUAUCACUAAGAGUUAUUAGUACAGUUUUAUUAGCAAUUAAUUCAGUAAGAACACGUAUCAUUGAAACUUGGAUUAACAUAGCACAAGUAAGUAUAAUGAAAUGGGUCCCUAAGUAUAUACCUUUAAAAUCAUUCAAUAAUAUAAAGAAAAACUAAAUUAACUAGAAAUUUAAAUUAUAUGUCUGUAUAAAAUCAAAUAUAAAAAUGUAAUUUAUUUAUUUAACAAUUGAAAAUAAUUAUCAUAUUAUAUAAAAAGUUUAAAAUUAGACUAUCCUUAUAACCCCAUAAAUUAAUGCAAAAUUUAACCUAAAUAUAAAAUAAAAAUAUAUUUGAAUGAUUCUGAAAUUCAUAUUUUAAUUAAUACUUUACAUAAAUAAAUUAUUAUAAUAAGCUAAUUUUAAAUUUUAUACAGUCAAAAAUUAACUGUUUUUUAAUUUGUUUUUUUUUUUUAUAUGUAUAAAAAACACCUUCAAGCAGCAGUUUUGUCGCCAAAAUCAAAUUUUCUAUAAGCCAUUACAAUAUUUCAUUUUUUUUUUUUUUUUUGUAGUUGACUUUUAUUUAAUUUCAUAGGAAUUAAGGGUACUUAAGAAUUUUUCAUCAUUGAAAGCAAUUAUAUCAGGUCUACAAUCAAAUUCUGUGUUUCGAUUAAAAAAAACAUGGCAUUCUCUUCCUAGAGAUAAGGUAUUAGUGAUUUAAAUAUUCAAAUCAUAAUAGUAAAUUUUUUUAAUCCAGUUAUCUUUUAAAAAAUAAUAUUUGUUCUUAAAGCUGGAAUUGUUUCAAGAACUUGCAAGAAUAUUUAGUGAAGAAAAUAACCAGUGGGCCCAAAGAAAAUUGUUAAUAAAGGAGGGUACAGCUAAAUUUGCUGACACAUUUGGACACAAUGAUAGGCAUUUACAAAAAUUAAUUCAAAAACAACAAAGUACUAUGAGUGUAAGUUACCAGUUGUAAUAAAAA